Daphnia pulex (common water flea) is the source of this 72-nucleotide non-coding RNA. The record is from Rfam. NCBI's taxonomy places the organism in Eukaryota, Metazoa, Arthropoda, Branchiopoda, Diplostraca, Daphniidae.
GGGGGUAUAGCUCAGUGGCAGAGCAUCCGACUGCAGAUCGGGCGGUCCCCGGUUUAAACCCGGGUGCCCCCU